GUCAUUUUGUAUUAACAUUCUCAUUAAGUUUUACAAUAGUAUUAGGUGCAACUAUAUUAGGAUUCAGUAAACACGGUUUAGAAUUCUUUUCUCUAUUUGUUCCUGCUGGUUGUCCAUUAGGAUUAUUACCUUUACUAGUAUUAAUAGAAUUUAUAUCUUACUUAGCUAGAAAUGUAUCAUUAGGUUUAAGAUUAGCUGCUAAUAUAUUAUCAGGUCAUAUGCUUUUAAAUAUAUUAAGUGGAUUUACUUAUAACAUAAUGACUUCAGGUUUCAUAUUCUUCUUUUUAGGAUUCUUU
Molecule: unclassified non-coding RNA, 296 nt
Filed under: Hevea brasiliensis (rubber tree)
Lineage: Eukaryota; Viridiplantae; Streptophyta; Magnoliopsida; Malpighiales; Euphorbiaceae
Source: RNAcentral